AGGAGAGUUUGAUCCUGGCUCAGGAUUAGAUACCCUGGUAGUCCAGAAUUUGGCUUAGAGUUUGAUCCUGGCUCAGGAUGAACGCUAGCUACAGGCUUAACACAUGCAAGUCGGGGGGCAGCAUGAAGUCAGCUUGCUGACUUUGAUGGCGACCGGCGCACGGGUGAGUAACGCGUAUCCAACCUACCCCUUAGUAGGGCAUAGCCCGUAGAAAUGCGGAUUAAUACCCUAUGUUUUCCGAGGAUGGCAUCUGACUUGGAACAAAGAUUCAUCGCUAAGGGAUGGGGAUGCGUCCGAUUAGCUUGCCGGCGGGGUAACGGCCCACCGGGGCGACGAUCGGUAGGGGUUCUGAGAGGAAGGUCCCCCACACUGGUACUGAGACACGGACCAGACUCCUACGGGAGGCAGCAGUGAGGAAUAUUGGUCAAUGGGCGCGAGCCUGAACCAGCCAAGUAGCGUGCAGGACGACGGCCCUACGGGUUGUAAACUGCUUUUAUCAGGGGAUAAAGUGCGGGACGUGUCCCUCAUUGCAGGUACCUGAUGAAUAAGGACCGGCUAAUUCCGUGCCAGCAGCCGCGGUAAUACGGAAGGUCCGGGCGUUAUCCGGAUUUAUUGGGUUUAAAGGGAGCGCAGGCGGGUGCUUAAGCGUGCUGUGAAAUGUACCGGCUCAACCGGUGACGUGCAGCGCGAACUGGGUGCCUUGAGUGAGUGCGAGGUAUGCGGAAUUCGUGGUGUAGCGGUGAAAUGCUUAGAUAUCACGAAGAACCCCGAUUGCGAAGGCAGCGUACCAGUCCUUUACUGACGCUAAAGCUCGAAGGUGCGGGUAUCGAACAGGAUUAGAUACCCUGGUAGUCCCCU
RNAcentral lists this ribosomal RNA (858 nucleotides) under uncultured Bacteroidota bacterium. RNAcentral's name for it is "bacterial SSU rRNA". It matches the Rfam family "Bacterial small subunit ribosomal RNA", at positions 1 to 799 of the family's 1533-position model. The record is from RNAcentral. Lineage: Bacteria; Pseudomonadati; Bacteroidota.